Molecule: non-coding RNA, 48 nt
Filed under: Schistosoma mansoni
Lineage: Eukaryota; Metazoa; Platyhelminthes; Trematoda; Strigeidida; Schistosomatidae
Source: RNAcentral
AUCCAGCUGAUGAGUCCCAAAUAGGACGAAACACUCUUCAAACUGGAU